GAGGGUGUAGCUCAGUGGUAGAGCGCAUGCUUAGUAUGCACGAGGUUCUUGGUUCAAUCCCCUGUACCUCCA
RNAcentral lists this transfer RNA (72 nucleotides) under Camelus bactrianus (Bactrian camel). It matches the Rfam family "tRNA". From Rfam's summary of the family: Transfer RNA (tRNA) molecules are approximately 80 nucleotides in length. Their secondary structure includes four short double-helical elements and three loops (D, anti-codon, and T loops). Further hydrogen bonds mediate the characteristic L-shaped molecular structure. tRNAs have two regions of fundamental functional importance: the anti-codon, which is responsible for specific mRNA codon recognition, and the 3' end, to which the tRNAs corresponding amino acid is attached (by aminoacyl-tRNA synthetases). tRNAs cope with the degeneracy of the genetic code in two manners: having more than one tRNA (with a specific anti-codon) for a particular amino acid; and 'wobble' base-pairing, i.e. permitting non-standard base-pairing at the 3rd anti-codon position. Lineage: Eukaryota; Metazoa; Chordata; Mammalia; Artiodactyla; Camelidae. The record is from Rfam by way of RNAcentral. RNAcentral also lists the same sequence under 2 other names.